UGAGGUAACCGUAAGGAGCCAGCGGCCGAAGGUGGGAUUAGUGAUUGGGGUGAAGUCGUAACAAGGUAGCCGUAGGAGAACCUGCGGCUGGAUCACCUCCUUUCUAAGGAGA
This 112-nucleotide ribosomal RNA is filed under the name Clostridium botulinum. Its description in RNAcentral is "partial 16S ribosomal RNA". It matches the Rfam family "Bacterial small subunit ribosomal RNA", at positions 1431 to 1533 of the family's 1533-position model. Lineage: Bacteria; Bacillati; Bacillota; Clostridia; Eubacteriales; Clostridiaceae. The record is from RNAcentral.